Molecule: unclassified non-coding RNA, 375 nt
Filed under: Hevea brasiliensis (rubber tree)
Lineage: Eukaryota; Viridiplantae; Streptophyta; Magnoliopsida; Malpighiales; Euphorbiaceae
Source: RNAcentral
GUAGAAAGUGUGAUCUUAGUGCUUCGCAAAAGCACAGUUAGCAACUUAACGCAAGACUCCAAUAAUGGGUUACUGGAAGUUACUGAACCUUGAGCAAUAUUCAGUAAUGAAUGCUUUAUCUUCUCUGCCUGAGAUUCAAGAGAUGGCAAAGGGAGCCUCACCAGAGGAGAUAAGCACCUAAGUGAGGCAGACAUGACAUUCUCAUAUUUUGAGUUUAAGCAUUCACCCAAUAAUCUUACAUAUGGAUCUAGCAUUGACAACAACUGCUCGUCUUUCUUGUCAAAUUUCAUGUUCUUCAUGUAAUUCUGAAGCACUCCAAGAGCAAACUCAGUAAUAAGAUGGGAAUAUCGUGGAUCAACGCCGAUCAACUUAUCU